Molecule: transfer RNA, 71 nt
Filed under: Capillidium rhysosporum
Lineage: Eukaryota; Fungi; Entomophthoromycota; Entomophthoromycetes; Entomophthorales; Capillidiaceae
Also listed under: 1 other name
Description: tRNA-Trp
Rfam family: tRNA
About the family: Transfer RNA (tRNA) molecules are approximately 80 nucleotides in length. Their secondary structure includes four short double-helical elements and three loops (D, anti-codon, and T loops).
Source: RNAcentral
AGGAAAAUAAUUUAAUGGAAAAAUAAUGAUCUCCAAAAUCAAAGAUAAAGGUUCGAGUCCUUUUUUUCCUG